Alosa sapidissima (American shad) is the source of this 852-nucleotide long non-coding RNA. RefSeq lists it as uncharacterized. Lineage: Eukaryota; Metazoa; Chordata; Actinopteri; Clupeiformes; Clupeidae. The transcript has 3 exons. The record is from RefSeq and is a predicted model, not a curated record.
CCAGGCUGCGACAGACAGACCGUGAUAGAGCUGCUGAUGGCAAACUGCACAGCACAUGAGGGCCAUCUGUGCGGCCCCGAUAACACCACUGUGCCUGGGUAUAGGAACAGCACUGCAACAACAUCACUACAGUGAGGCUGGAGAUAAUAUGGCCAUGCUACAUUUAUGGUACCAUUCCUCAACAAGCUGCUAAUGACCUGCACUAAACACAGCAAAGCCAGCGGGAGACUGCUUCAGGGCAGGCUCAUAAAAACCGGACCAUGAAGACAGGGAUUUCAACAAUAUGUGGUUUAGUACAAGACAUUUCAACAAGACAAAUGGGGGUCCUGUUAGCAAAAGAGUUUGAAUUCCUCUAAACAUCUCAAGCUGGGACAGGGUAUUUAACUAAAAGGAUGAAUCCCACUCCUCCUAAUGAUGCUCAGUGAUGAGAUGACAGGACAUACAGAUCAUCAGCACACAAUCUGACAUUAUCAGAACAGUCAGGACUCCUUCACUUAGGUCUUGACAUCUUCCAGACUAUAGAGAUGCUAACAGCUUUCCUAACAUGUCAGUAAGAGUACCUUUAAGACUAGAGAUGCUAACAGCUUUCCUAACAUGUCAGUAAGAGUACCUUUAAGACUAGAGAUGCUAACAGCUUUCCUAAAAUGUCAGUAAGAGUACCUUUAAGACUAGAGAUGCUAACAGCUUUCCUAAAAUGUCAGUAAGAGUACCUUUAAGACUAGAGAUGCUAACAGCUUUCCUAAAAUGUCAGUAAGAGUACCUUUAAGACUAGAGAUGCUAACAGCUUUCCUAACAUGUCUGUAAGAAUACCUUUAAGACUAGAGAUGUUAACAGAUUUCCUAACAUGUCUGU